RNAcentral lists this ribosomal RNA (253 nucleotides) under uncultured bacterium. Its description in RNAcentral is "partial 16S ribosomal RNA". It matches the Rfam family "Bacterial small subunit ribosomal RNA", at positions 524 to 776 of the family's 1533-position model. The record is from RNAcentral.
UACGGAGGAUGCAAGCGUUAUCCGGAAUGAUUGGGCGUAAAGCGUCCGCAGGUGGCUGUGUAAGUCUGCUGUUAAAUAGUGAGGCUCAACCUCAUAAAGGCAGUGGAAACUACACGGCUAGAGUGCGUUCGGGGCAGAGGGAAUUCCUGGUGUAGCGGUGAAAUGCGUAGAGAUCAGGAAGAACACCGGUGGCGAAAGCGCUCUGCUAGGCCGCAACUGAUACUGAGGGACGAAAGCUAGGGGAGCGAAUGGG